This 450-nucleotide ribosomal RNA is filed under the name uncultured bacterium. RNAcentral describes it as "bacterial SSU rRNA". It matches the Rfam family "Bacterial small subunit ribosomal RNA", at positions 354 to 796 of the family's 1533-position model. The record is from RNAcentral.
GUGGGGAAUAUUGCGCAAUGGGCGAAAGCCUGACGCAGCCAUGCCGCGUGUGUGAAGAAGGCCUUCGGGUUGUAAAGCACUUUCAGAGGGGAGGAAAGGGCGCUGGCUAAUACCCGGCGCAGUUGACGCUACCCUCAGAAGAAGCACCGGCUAAUUCCGUGCCAGCAGCCGCGGUAAUACGGAAGGUGCAAGCGUUAAUCGGAAUUACUGGGCGUAAAGCGCGCGUAGGCGGCUUGGUAAGUCGGGUGUGAAAGCCCCGGGCUCAACCUGGGAACUGCAUUCGAUACUGCCGGGCUAGAGUACGAGAGAGGGGGGUGGAAUUCCAGGUGUAGCGGUGAAAUGCGUAGAGAUCUGGAGGAACACCAGUGGCGAAGGCGGCCCCCUGGUUCGAUACUGACGCUGAGGUGCGAAAGCGUGGGGAGCAAACAGGAUUAGAUACCCCGGUAGUCC